Oncorhynchus keta (chum salmon) is the source of this 1676-nucleotide long non-coding RNA. RefSeq lists it as uncharacterized. Lineage: Eukaryota; Metazoa; Chordata; Actinopteri; Salmoniformes; Salmonidae. The record is from RefSeq and is a predicted model, not a curated record. The transcript has 4 exons.
UCACUUCUAUUUUAAUCAGUCUAUAAAAUAGUCUGUCAUUCAAACCAUUAUUACAAAAUCCAGGUUUCUCCUAAAGUUUGAAAAAGUACAAACAUCUUCUAUACAAAACAGCAAAACUACAUAGUAUUGCACAAUCUUUUUAUUUUAUCUUGAAAGUACAAAGAUAUCAAUCGUCUCGACAGAAAUAAGACAGAAUAAAUUAUUUUAUUAAGCAUUAUUCCUUAAAGAUUACAGCACAUAAAUAAGGAGAAACGCUACAUAGUUAAAAUGAGCCAUUAUUUCAUAGUGCUUUUCUCAAAAGACGGAACAUCUCAAUGGAAAACAAAAAAGCUCUCACCAUGUGAUGCUGAAUAGUUGCUUGAAAAAAUAAAUAAGUGCAUUUCCAUGGUCACCUUUUGCCCUAUGGGACUUUUUACUUGGACCAGCAUGAAGGGCUUCUUCCCCUCCUUUCAGUUUAAAAACCAGGAAAAAUAUACAGCAAAUAAUUCAAGAGGUUUACAAUUGUUAAAAUUCAUACAGACAGAUUUAAAAUAUAAUUUUCCUUUUUUGGCAGGAUGAACUCUCUACUAACAUACAUACAAAUUUUGCCCUCAAAAAUUCUGGGACAGACCUCAUCUGAAGUCACGCGUAACACGCACAUACAAAUAAAACAAGUCAGAUUACUAUGGUUCCAGGUAGAGGUUUCCCCUAGGUACAGAUCUAGGAUCAGCUUCCCCUCCCCUAAUCCUAACCUUUACCAUUAGUGGGGAAAGUGCAAAACCGACCCAAAAUCGGCGUCUAGGUUUUUUCUUCACCCUAUACCAUUACGACCCAGUAACACCAUAUGGAGACAGAGACUGAAUGGCUGAGUAACUGACUGACUAUCCCUCCCCAUAUCUCUCAGACAGUCCAGUUCUUCACAGAUGUGACGCCUUACAUGUGGGUUAGGUCAGCUGAACAGAUGGAGGGUUGGGUUAGCUGAACAGAUGGAGGGUUGUGUUAGCUGAACAGAUGGAGGGUUGGGUUAGCUGAACAGAUGGAGGGUUGGGUUAGCUGAACAGAUGGAGGGUUGGGUUAGCUGAACAGAUGGAGGGUUGGGUUAGCUGAACAGAUGGAGGGUUGGGUUAGCUGAACAGAUGGAGGGUUAGGUUAGCUGAACAGAUGGAGGGUUAGGUUAGCUGAACAGAUGGAGGGUUAGGUUAGCUGAACAGAUGGAGGGUUAGGUUAGCUGAACAGAUGGAGGGUUAGGUUAGCUGAACAGAUGGAGGGUUAGGUUAGCUGAACAGAUGGAGGGUUAGGUUAGCUGAACAGAUGGAGGGUUAGGUUAGCUGAACAGAUGGAGGGUUGGGUUAGCUGAACAGAUGGAGGGUUGGGUUAGCUGAACAGAUGGAGGGUUGGGUUAGCUGAACAGAUGGAGGGUUAGGUUAGCUGAACAGAUGGAGGGUUGGGUUAGCUGAACAGAUGGAGGGUUAGGUUAGCUGAACAGAUGGAGGGUUGGGUUAGCUGAACAGAUGGAGGGUUGGGUUAGCUGAACAGAUGGAGGGUUGGGUUAGCUGAACAGAUGGAGGGUUGGGUUAGCUGAACAGAUGGAGGGUUGGGUUAGCUGAACAGAUGGAGGGUUGGGUUAGCUGAACAGAUGGAGGGUUAGGUUAGCUGAACAGAUGGAGGGUUGUGUUAGCUGAACAGAUGGAGGGUUG